GAUGAACGCUGGCGGCGUGCCUAAUACAUGCAAGUCGAGCGAACAGACGAGGAGCUUGCUCCUCUGACGUUAGCGGCGGACGGGUGAGUAACACGUGGAUAACCUACCUAUAAGACUGGGAUAACUUCGGGAAACCGGAGCUAAUACCGGAUAAUAUAUUGAACCGCAUGGUUCAAUAGUGAAAGACGGUUUUGCUGUCACUUAUAGAUGGAUCCGCGCCGCAUUAGCUAGUUGGUAAGGUAACGGCUUACCAAGGCAACGAUGCGUAGCCGACCUGAGAGGGUGAUCGGCCACACUGGAACUGAGACACGGUCCAGACUCCUACGGGAGGCAGCAGUAGGGAAUCUUCCGCAAUGGGCGAAACCCUGACGGAGCAACGCCGCGUGAGUGAUGAAGGUCUUCGGAUCGUAAAACUCUGUUAUUAGGGAAGAACAAAUGUGUAAGUAACUAUGCACGUCUUGACGGGACCUAAUCAGAAAGCCACGGCUAACUACGU
This 496-nucleotide ribosomal RNA is filed under the name uncultured bacterium. Its description in RNAcentral is "partial 16S ribosomal RNA". It matches the Rfam family "Bacterial small subunit ribosomal RNA", at positions 28 to 506 of the family's 1533-position model. The record is from RNAcentral.